Fundulus heteroclitus (mummichog) is the source of this 309-nucleotide long non-coding RNA. RefSeq lists it as uncharacterized. The record is from RefSeq and is a predicted model, not a curated record. NCBI's taxonomy places the organism in Eukaryota, Metazoa, Chordata, Actinopteri, Cyprinodontiformes, Fundulidae. The transcript is spliced from 3 exons.
GUCUGAGUUCCUCACCUUCUGCAUCGUCCUCUGAAACCUCCCAGCCUGAUAAAUCAGCUACAACUUCAGGUCUUCAGCUUUAUAUUGUUCUGACUCUGGUCAUCAAGAUCAUCUUACUGUCAAUACCUUUGGUGAUUUUCUGCAGGAAGAGGAGGAUUGCUAAACAAAAGACCAACCAAGAGACCGAGGAAAUCAGAGAAGGACAGAGAGCUCAACGGGCCUCCUGAGGAAGUAUCUUCAGUUUGGUGUGUGCUGUUUGACUGGAGACCACCCACUGUACUAGAAAACCUUUUAUAGAUAAAAUAUUGU